This 262-nucleotide ribosomal RNA is filed under the name uncultured bacterium. RNAcentral's name for it is "partial 16S ribosomal RNA". It matches the Rfam family "Bacterial small subunit ribosomal RNA", at positions 793 to 1055 of the family's 1533-position model. The record is from RNAcentral.
GUCCACGCUGUAAACGAUGGAUACUUGGUGUUGGAGGUAUUGACCCCUUCAGUGCCGUAGCUAACGCGUUAAGUAUCCCGCCUGGGAAGUACGGUCGCAAGAUUAAAACUCAAAGAAAUUGACGGGGGCCCGCACAAGCGGUGGAGCAUGUGGUUCAAUUCGAUGCAACGCGAAGAACCUUACCUGGGUUUGACAUGUACUGGAAGACUACCAGAAAUGGUGUCGCCUUCGGGUCGGUACACAGGUGCUGCAUGGCUGUCGU